GGCCUGCUAGCUCAGUUGGUUAGAGCGUCGUGCUAAUACCUUGUUAAGGGGGAUUUACCCCUACAGCGGGUGACGCGAAGGUCCUGGGUUCGACCCCCAUGUGGGCCA
This is a transfer RNA of Jaapia argillacea, 108 nucleotides long. It matches the Rfam family "tRNA". From Rfam's summary of the family: Transfer RNA (tRNA) molecules are approximately 80 nucleotides in length. Their secondary structure includes four short double-helical elements and three loops (D, anti-codon, and T loops). Further hydrogen bonds mediate the characteristic L-shaped molecular structure. tRNAs have two regions of fundamental functional importance: the anti-codon, which is responsible for specific mRNA codon recognition, and the 3' end, to which the tRNAs corresponding amino acid is attached (by aminoacyl-tRNA synthetases). tRNAs cope with the degeneracy of the genetic code in two manners: having more than one tRNA (with a specific anti-codon) for a particular amino acid; and 'wobble' base-pairing, i.e. permitting non-standard base-pairing at the 3rd anti-codon position. The record is from Rfam. NCBI's taxonomy places the organism in Eukaryota, Fungi, Basidiomycota, Agaricomycetes, Jaapiales, Jaapiaceae.